This 71-nucleotide transfer RNA is filed under the name Loxodonta africana (African savanna elephant). It matches the Rfam family "tRNA". From Rfam's summary of the family: Transfer RNA (tRNA) molecules are approximately 80 nucleotides in length. Their secondary structure includes four short double-helical elements and three loops (D, anti-codon, and T loops). Lineage: Eukaryota; Metazoa; Chordata; Mammalia; Proboscidea; Elephantidae. The record is from Rfam by way of RNAcentral.
UACAUUGUGGUUCAGUGGUAGAAUUCUUGCCUUCAAUGCAGGAGUCCUGGGUUUGAUUCAGGCCAAUGUAC